CUAAAACAAGCCAAUGGUCAUCAAUCUCGUAGGCACUGCACCUAAUUACAUCAACUGAAGCAUCUUUUAACAGAUGAAUACAUUUACUCAUAGACAAGAAGAAGAAUGUGACUGAUGAUUAACUACUGUAUAGAAUUUUAUAAACAAUUCAUUUCAUACAAGCAAGUGAAUUACACCGCCUUCCUUUGAGCAACCACACUUAUAUAUUCAAAUCAGCGCAUGAAUUGACUCCACAACUUGCCAUUCUUUACUCUUGGGUCAGUGCUCGGAUGUAAACUUUCUCAAGCAUUUGAAGUAUACCCCGUCUAGAUUUCUUCUUCUCUUUGGACCCCUUUUCUCCUCUUCUCUUCAUCUCCUCUUUGUGGAGCUUCUUGAGGGCAUAUGCUUCGGCUAUGUCGACACCCAUGGAAGUCAUUACCAGCAGGAAUAUGAGCUUCCAAAAGACUACUUUUCCUCCUUUCUUCUUCUCCCUCCCUUUCCUUGCACUUGGCGAGACUGUG
Molecule: long non-coding RNA, 500 nt
Filed under: Phoenix dactylifera (date palm)
Lineage: Eukaryota; Viridiplantae; Streptophyta; Magnoliopsida; Arecales; Arecaceae
Description: long non-coding RNA (PDAC_LNC003620)
Source: RNAcentral